GACGAACGCUGGCGGCGUGCUUAACACAUGCAAGUCGAACGAGAGCGUAGAGAAAGCUUGCUUUUUCUACAAUCUAGUGGCAAACGGGUGAGUAACGCGUAAACAACCUGCCCUACGGAUGGGGACAACAGCUGGAAACGGCUGCUAAUACCGAAUACGUUCCGAAAGUCGCAUGACUAUCGGAAGAAAGGAUGGCCUCUAUUUAUAAGCUAUCGCCGGAGGAGGGGUUUGCGUCUGAUUAGCUAGUUGGAGGGGUAACGGCCCACCAAGGCGACGAUCAGUAGCCGGUCUGAGAGGAUGAACGGCCACAUUGGAACUGAGACACGGUCCAGACUCCUACGGGAGGCAGCAGUGGGGAAUCUUCCGCAAUGGGCGAAAGCCUGACGGAGCAACGCCGCGUGAGUGAAGACGGCCUUCGGGUUGUAAAGCUCUGUUAUACGGGACGAAUAUCUUGUGGUUAAUACCCAUGAGAAGUGACGGUACCGUAAGAGAAAGCCACGGCUAACUACGUG
This 512-nucleotide ribosomal RNA is filed under the name uncultured bacterium. Its description in RNAcentral is "partial 16S ribosomal RNA". It matches the Rfam family "Bacterial small subunit ribosomal RNA", at positions 28 to 507 of the family's 1533-position model. The record is from RNAcentral.